This is a microRNA precursor of Oryza sativa Indica Group (long-grained rice), 195 nucleotides long. It matches the Rfam family "MIR812 microRNA precursor family". NCBI's taxonomy places the organism in Eukaryota, Viridiplantae, Streptophyta, Magnoliopsida, Poales, Poaceae. The record is from Rfam.
UUUAAACGUAGCCAUAAGUUUAAAGUGUCCAAUUUGAAUCAUCCAUUUUAUUUGAAAUUUUUUAUGAUAAUAAUAAUAUUAUUAUUAGAUGAUAAAAUAAUAAUAAUAUGUGUGACUUAUGUUUUUUUUUUUAAAAAAAAUUUAAAUAAGACGGACGAUUAAAAUCGGACACGAAAACUCAUGGCUACGUUUAAA